Molecule: ribosomal RNA, 245 nt
Filed under: uncultured Leuconostoc sp.
Lineage: Bacteria; Bacillati; Bacillota; Bacilli; Lactobacillales; Lactobacillaceae
Description: partial 16S ribosomal RNA
Rfam family: Bacterial small subunit ribosomal RNA
Source: RNAcentral
UACGUAUGUCCCGAGCGUUAUCCGGAUUUAUUGGGCGUAAAGCGAGCGCAGACGGUUUAUUAAGUCUGAUGUGAAAGCCCGGAGCUCAACUCCGGAAUGGCAUUGGAAACUGGUUAACUUGAGUGCAGUAGAGGUAAGUGGAACUCCAUGUGUAGCGGUGGAAUGCGUAGAUAUAUGGAAGAACACCAGUGGCGAAGGCGGCUUACUGGACUGCAACUGACGUUGAGGCUCGAAAGUGUGGGUAG